CUACGGGAUGCACCAGUGAGGAAUAUUGCACAAUGGGGGGAACCCUGAUGCAGCAACGCCGCGUGGAGGAUGACGCAUUUCGGUGUGUAAACUCCUUUUAUAUGUCAAGAAAAUGACGGUAGCAUAUGAAUAAGCACCGGCUAACUCCGUGCCAGCAGCCGCGGUAAUACGGAGGGUGCAAACGUUACUCGGAAUCACUGGGCGUAAAGGACGCGUAGGCGGGUUGGAAAGUCAGGUGUGAAAUCCUACAGCUUAACUGUAGAACUGCACUUGAAACUUCUAAUCUAGAGUAUGGGAGGGGGAGAUGGAAUUAGUGGUGUAGGGGUAAAAUCCGUAGAUAUCACUAGGAAUACCUAAAGCGAAGGCGAUCUCCUGGAACAUUACUGACGCUAAGGCGUGAAAGCGUGGGGAGCAAACAGAAUUAGAUACCCUUGUAGUC
RNAcentral lists this ribosomal RNA (439 nucleotides) under uncultured bacterium. RNAcentral's name for it is "partial 16S ribosomal RNA". It matches the Rfam family "Bacterial small subunit ribosomal RNA", at positions 339 to 795 of the family's 1533-position model. The record is from RNAcentral.